GCGGAGGUCGCCAAGCAUGGUCAAAGGUGUAAGACUGAGGCUCUUAUCCCGCAGGGGUUCGUGGGUUCAAAUCCCACCCUCCGCA
This 85-nucleotide transfer RNA is filed under the name Candidatus Bathycorpusculum sp. RNAcentral describes it as "tRNA-Leu". It matches the Rfam family "tRNA". Rfam says of the family: Transfer RNA (tRNA) molecules are approximately 80 nucleotides in length. Their secondary structure includes four short double-helical elements and three loops (D, anti-codon, and T loops). Lineage: Archaea; Thermoproteati; Candidatus Bathyarchaeota; Bathyarchaeia (SeqCode); Bathyarchaeales (SeqCode); Candidatus Bathycorpusculaceae. RNAcentral also lists the same sequence under 1 other name. The record is from RNAcentral.